GAUGGUUCUUGGGUGAUGCACCCCGAAAUCAGACUCCCUUCUCUCUGGUUCUGGGUACAUCCCCUGAGAACCACA
Molecule: non-coding RNA, 75 nt
Organism: Myotis lucifugus (little brown bat)
Lineage: Eukaryota; Metazoa; Chordata; Mammalia; Chiroptera; Vespertilionidae
Source: Rfam